RNAcentral lists this long non-coding RNA (10267 nucleotides) under Octopus vulgaris (common octopus). Lineage: Eukaryota; Metazoa; Mollusca; Cephalopoda; Octopoda; Octopodidae. The record is from RNAcentral.
CUCAAUCAACUCUGGUGUCCUCUUACUCUCUUUCUUCUAUACAUCAAUGCUGUCAUAUCUAACAAUACCUUUUCUUAUGCAGAUGAUAUAAUUCUUCAUUCUUUCCUAAUAUACCCCCAACCAUCCACACACAACAUAUACACCAUAUGUCAAACCUGCAUUGAUUCCUGAAGCAAAGACAUCAUUCCAACAUUGUUUCUAUCAACAGUAGACAAGCUCAAGUACUACUCAUAUCAAGAAAGCCCUACUAAACCAAUCUUCCUCAAAACAUGAUGUACUCUGCUAGAAUCCUCACAGCUACUCCUAAUGCUGGACAUCAUUAUUACCAAACAUAUCUCCUGGUGAAAGCAGAUCCCUAGCAUAGAUAGAGCUAUUUCGCAAAUACUAGUCCUUUGCUUUACGGUCAGGAAAUAUUUCAGCACCCAACAGCUGCUGUCAUUUUACAAAGUUCAAGUGAGAUCUACGAUGCUGUGCCGCAUUGACAUAUGGGAUGGUGUUAUUGCUACGUACACAGAUAAACUGAGUGACAUUCAAUCACUAAUAAACACAUCUUAGCUUCGACUGUAGGUGUGCUGCCUUCUCUCUGUGUAUUUUCUAUCGUGACAAUGGUUACUGAUUCUCGGAUUGGCGGGGUCUUGUUCAUCCGUCACUCAGGGUAUCUUCAACUCAUACAUCUCCCUUGUUUCACCUACCAGCAGAUUUCUGCGUUUAGUACCCCCAUGAACCCCUCAUGACUUUUUAUUUUCAGGAAUUUUCUGAAAAUUUUUGCGCAUUUGUGUUCUACACACAGGAAUUCAGACGAUUACGAAAAGAAUUUUUAAUUUUUCGAAUUGUUUAAAAAUCAGAAUUUAAAAUACAGACAGUCCGAACUUUUGCUUAAAUCCCAGCAGUGGACCAUUAAAUGUAUUUAUGAGGAGAAAGAUAUUGAAAUACAAUAUAUUAGCGACAAAGACAAGAGGAGGGUAUCGAGUGGUCGUGAGUUGUGCUAAAAAUAACAGCUAAAUAGCUCUUAAUCCACACAAAAAUUUGUUGUUUUUGCAUAAUCGUACGAAUUCUCGUGUGUAGGAUAUAAAUUCGCAAAAUUUUUCUGAAAAUUCCAAGAAAUAAAAAAGUUAUGAGUGGCUUAUGGGGUGCUUAAACCAGAAUUCCGCCCAUCCACUUUCUCACAGCCACCCACUAACCAUUAUGUUUGAUCCUUUCUCUCUAGAAUAUUGGCUUUUAGAACCUCUCCACCCUGCUUAUAUCUUUCCUGCAUGUGUUUUGAAGACAAUGUCUCUCUUGUCCACUUUCAGCGUAUCUCACUUUCGCAUAAUUGGAUCAUGUGUCGCAAGCUGAGGUGAUAAGUUGUUUCGCUCCGUAAACUGUUAGACUCACGAACUUAUUAUGAUUAAAAAAAAAUUUCCUGUGUAUGUCGACGCAGACCAUUACUAGUUUUCUCUAAUUCUAGUAUUUAUUUUCACUUUCCCAUUCAUUAAAUCACGCAGUCCUGGAUAUUAUGUUCAAAUUAAAGACAAAAUGACUGCGGUUGAAAUAUUUAGAAUUCUAAAAAAAAAUUUGUUUUGAAUUACAAACUGUGUCCACUCUUUAGCGACAAAAGAAGGGGAAAUUAAUUCUCCAGUUUCCUCGUUUAUUAUUUUCCCGCCUUCUUUCGGUUUUUAUAACUAAAACUUGAUUUGCAAGAAGUAUUUGCAGUAAUUAUAUAACUAACUAAAGCUAUUACCUUUGUUUGGGGUGUUACUAAGCGGAAGUGAAAUUGUUGUUAGAGUUGAAAGCUGUAACACUUGUGAUUGCGGAAACGUGAUGCAGUAACUUCGAGGUUGGUUCAUCUAAAUUAAUUUAUUUCUUUGUUUCUUAAAUAUUAUUUAGAUUCUUAUUAGAAUAUUAAGCCUUCUUGGACUGUAAAAUACUGGCACUUCCCAAUUAUUGUAUUUUGUGCAGAUUUUCUUUAAAGAUAUAAAUAAAAUAAUGAUGAAAGAUGAACGGUAAUAUUUCCGAUAAUUGUCACAAUGUUUUUGUCAUAAUUAUUAAAUUAUAUUUAAUACUGAGUAACAUGAUGCUGUGGCUAUUUUUGUCGUUGGAGAAUGAAUUUUGAUGAUUUACUGUGUAACACUGCUUUUCGUUUCCCCUUCGCGAGAUAAGUGCAUAGCAACGUAAUAGCAAUUAUGAUGAUAAAUAGUAAUUAUAAUCAAUAUAUAAAGAUUGGCUAGUUUAUGCGAGUUAAAUCAAAUUAGAGCCAUGGAAGGCAAAGCUAAUCCGACUAAAUGUCUCAGAAAUUUACACACCCUGUGUCAAAAAUACUAAAAGCAUUAAGAAAAAUUUCGCACAAUAAACACGUACAUGGGUGUGUAAAGUUCAUGGUUUGGUGGAUGAUAGUGCACACAAUAUUGAAAAUCUUGAGAUGAAGACAAAGAUAAAAAUUAAAGAAAAAACAUGAAACCAGAAACCAAAAUUACGGCAGAAUUUGGAGACUGAAUUGUACUACUAAAUAAGAUAACAUAACUUUGUUGUGUAUAUUUAUUGAAAAGUGCUAGAGUGAACAAAUAGUAAUUGUGCAUCGACAAAUAUUUGCACAAAACAUUUUCUAGUAUCGUUUAGAUGUGUUGCAUGGGAGGAAUUGUUUUUGAAUAAAGAAAGAAUUACACAAAACUCGCAAUGCUUGUUCCAUUUUACUACUACAGUGUCCUCGCAAUGCUUGUUCCAUUUUAGGAACAUUUCGGUGAGGCACCCUUCAGGUUCCACAGCCAAACUCUUACAUCAACGAAGAUAUUAUUUGCCCUUAAUUCUAACAUAGGAAGUAAAUAAUGAAAUAGUUUGUAAAAGUUCUAGAACUUUCUAUUUUUCAUUCUAAGUAAAAAAAAAAAAAAAAAAUUGUCCAUGUCUGUUAAAUAAAAAAAAAGUGGUUUACAUGAUUAAUUUAAACCACUGUGUGUUGGGAAGAGAAACAGGUACUUCUUAAAUACAGAGGUCCCUACAAACUAACCCUAUGAGACUUCUGUAGUACCGAGAAAUAUGUUUUGCCAUGGGCUUUAAAAAAAAUGAAUUAUUUAGAUUCAGGUCAGCCUUGAUUGAGCUUAUCUAUGACUAAGGCAUUCCAGCUGUGAUUAAUUUCUUUUAGAAGUGUCUAGAAUUACAUUGUCUAAUGUUCCUUUUGCUUUUAAAGAUGAUUGAACAUGAUUUUGUUGCUAUUAUGGUGCAAAGCAUUCCCUCAUGGUAUUGGAUGGCUGUAAUUGAUGUUGAGGAAGGCAAGAAAAAAUAGUAGGAGACAGUAAAAUGAGAAUGUGGUUGGUCAACAGACUAAAUAAAUCAUAUUUAUAUGUAUAUUUGUCAUAUAUGCAUACUCAAGUAUGGCUGUGUGGUAAGAAGUUUGUUUCCCAACCAUAUGGUUCUGGGUUCAAUCCCUGUCUUCGUAGUAACAUAGACCCUCCAGUGAUGACUAGUCCUUCCUCACAGCCCCGACCCGAACACUAACGAUAGCAGCUGCUAGCCCAAACCCUUAGCGACGUCCUCACACGUCUUGUCACCUGCACGACCCACGUUGGAAAAGGGCAAUUUCCGCUCCCUGCGCACGCCAGACAGCUGACCCCUUCCGCUUGCCCCAGCUUCCGGUCAACGCACCCGGCUGCUGACGUCCAGCUGCUGACGUCAUCCCACAAUCCCAUUGUGUGGUACCUUGGCCAAGAGUCUUUUACUAUAUCCUCAGGCUGACCAAAACCUUGUGAAUAAAUUUGGUAGACAGAAUCUCAAAGAAGCCCAUGUGUGUAUGUUACUGUUUCCUUAUCUUGACAGUGUGUGAUAGUUGUAAACUAGUGUCAUUGUCAUGCAAGUGGUGUCCUUCAUUUUCAAUAUUCUGUGAAAACAUGUUUGGUCAUGGAGAAAUAUUAACUUAUUUGAAAACCAAUGAGGGUUUGCAACAGGAAGGGCCUCUAGCCAUAAAAAUAUUCACCUCUACAAUUUUUGUUUGAUCCAUGCAUGUAUGAAAAAGUGGAUGUUAAAAUGGUGAGGAGGAGGGAUUCUUUUACUCUCCACAAGGAACUCUUCUUUGAUUAGAUAAGGAAGUUAUAUUUUUCUACAAGUUCAUGAAGCUAUUGAAAUCUCAGGGGUUAUUUCAUGGAUCUCUAUGUCCAGCAAAGAAAACAUUUCUUUUAUCUUCUAAUUUGUUUCAUAUGGCAAUUGAGUAUACUGUCCUUCACAACCCAUCUGUUUCAUCCCUUUAAAUGAAUACUGAUACUUUACUAGCACUCCCUGAUCAUCAGGAAUUUCUUGCAUAUAGGAUGCUGCAUUUAUUUACUGGCUUGUUCCUGUUUUCAACUAAAAAUGUUUUUAAAACCCCAAGUUUUAUAUACCACUUUGGUCCACAGCAUUCUUUACCAUAUUCAGCUUCUCUCUUAGAGCCUUCUUCACUGUUUCCUCUUUAACCCCCCACACCUUCAGCUUUGGUUGUUACAUCAUCUGAAUUCUCUGUCCACCUUUUAUCUUCUGGCCAUAGACAACAAAACGGUGCUGUUCAAUAAUACAGUCAGUCUGGACAGAAUUUGAAUUCGGAAUACAAAGGGACAUAACUAAAUAAAUGAGGUGUUUUUUUCCAUCUCAACAAAUUCUGUCAUCUACCAUCCAUGAAUUGUUAAUAUAUUUAUAAUUCUGCAAACCAUUUACCCCAUCUUCAGACAGAUAUGUUUACACCAUGUUAAAUUUAGCUUGAUCCCCAAUUGUUGUCAAGUGUCUUAUUCUUGGAUUUGUAUAUAAUCCAAAGCUAAAUAUGAAUUUUGAACAUUUAUUUCUACAUUAAAGGUAAUAUAGCUUUCUUAUGCUCUCCACUGGGCCUGUAAGUAUAAAUUUUGUAAAUAUAUUCUCUAAAAGUAAGGUUAGUAGUUUGAAAUAUUGUUACCUUUACUAAAGUUUAUGACCCCUUCUCAACAAUUUUAUAGUUUCUAUACAUAUUCACUGACUUGCUAGAAAUAGCAACUGAAUCACUCAAGUCACAUCCUAUCAUUUUGAAUAAAGAAAACAUAAUAGAAAAUAUGAUAUUUUAUACACAUUAAAAAUAAAUAAUCAUGACUAGAACACAUAUGAUCAUAGGCCUGCCUGAUCAGAGCUGACCUGAGGCUAAACAAUAACAUCAAGAAUAUAUGGUUGUAAGUAACAAAAGAACAGUGAUUUUAUAUUAUGACACACUUCUAAUGGUUACUCUAGAGGUGAUAUAUCUUAUCUCUGGAUAAUUACUACAAAAAGGAAGAAAAAACGAAAUAUUCAAAUUAUUAUCAAUAAUCAAUCUUUUUAAUGAUUUGCAAUAAAUUUUGACAAUACUUGAAUUAAUAUUUUAAUUUUUCCUGUAAAAUCUACAUCUUUACCUAGUCCCACUUGCAACUUGUUCAAACCUCAUUGAUAUAUUAAUUUGUUGACAAUAUGUCAAUUUCAGAUCAAUUCAGUUCUAAUAGUAAUUUCACUAGCUCCCUGUUGUACAAAAUGUAUUGAUUUUUAACCUACACUGUAUGUGUAGACAGACAGACAGUUUGUCUUUAUAUACAAUUUAUGUACCAGUGCAUUGUUAAUAGUCUUUCAUUUCAGUCGUGGGCUGUGUUACAGGAUAUAUCUAUUGAUUCUUAAUCAACACUAUGUGUAGACAGAUGGAAACAGCUUGUCUUUAUCUUCAUUUAAUGUUCAUUGUCCAUGCUAGCAUGGGUUGGAUGGUAUGGCCAGGGUUGGUACGCUGGGAGCCUGUACCAGAUUCCAAUCUGAUUUGGCAUAGUUUCCACAGCUUGAUGUCCUUCCUAACACCAACUACUUUACAGAGUGUACUGGAUGCUUUUACAUGGCACCGCAUGGGCAAUUUUACAUGAUGCCACAUGGAUGUUUUUAUGUGAUGCUGUGCUGGCAAUUUUACGUGUCACUGCACUGGUGCUUUUACAUGGCACAACCAUGGGUACUUUACACAACCAAAAGGAUCAAUCUUAACACUUCUGCUGUGAGGUGCAGGUCAUCUUGAGUACAGCCAGGCAACAGAUGUCUUGGUCCUUUGUCAUCUUGCCUGAAAGAUUCAGCUUCCUGAGGUCAUUCUUCAGUACUUUGUCCCAUGUCUUCCUGGAUCUCCCACUUCUAAGUGUUCCCUCCACUUUGAGAGAUUGGCACUUUUUUAUGGAACUGUCAGCAUCCAUCAGCAUCACCUGACCAAACCAACGCAGUCUCCUCUCUUGCUUCCCUGGGCAUGGAUUCACUGAAGCUCCGGCGUCUGGCGACGGACUUGGUAAACACCCACAAAGUUAUCAACCACCUCACCAACAACAACACUGAACACCUUUUUGAUCUCCAUGUGUCUAACACACGUGGACAUGCCUACAAAGUCAGAAAACAACACAGCUCCCAUGACUUUCGGAAACAUUUUUUCACGCUCAGAGUUACUGAAGCUUGGAAUAAACUGCCUGCGUCAGUUGUUGACUGCCAUGACACUGCAUCCUCUAAGGCCCUCAUGCUUUCCGAAAUCCGCCGAAACUACACCUGAUUAUAUGUACACUUUAGAUGAGUUGUAGUGCACCUGAGCACUGUACACAAUUAUUAUUAUUAUUAUUAUUAUUAUACAGCAAGAAAUUCCUCUUAUGCCUAACUUCUCUCUCAGAACACCGGCACUCUGUCAAACACAUACACUUACAUUACACAUCCAGCAUCCUCUAUGAAGAUACUGGUUAUAAACUCGCUGUUACAAAGAGCUUAAAUCAGAUAGACAAGUUGGCAUAUAUCAUCCAUUCUCAGCAGCUAGUUUGAUUUAUAAAUUACUAGUAUGCUGUGUUUCACAAAUCCAAUUGUAUGUAAAAUAACAAGAUAUUUGUUUACAUCUGUCCAUACAGUAUUGGCUAAAAGCUAUAGAUACAUUUUAGUGUCAUAUCUAUACAUAGAUAUGGCAUUAGAACAAAACAUUGGUAAAGCAAGAGUAAUUUAUUAAUUGAAAUACCUCCUAUGUAUGCAUAUCAGCAAGGGAGUUUGUUUAGUUGUUACUCAUACACUUGGAAACAACAUGCACAAAGAUAGUUUUAAAACAUUUUGUCAGGUGAUUCACUGUUUCUAUGAAUACCAAUGCUGAUUUUUUUUUUUUUAAUGAUUGAAAAUACUGUAUAUGCAUUUGAUCAUUCUUCAAAAUUUCACUUUGAUCUGAAACUGGGAUGUAAGUUUGGAAUUGUAAGGAAUAUAAUUAUAGAAACCAAUUCUUCUCAGACUUCACUGCAUUUCAUAUUUUACUAUUUGACUGAUAUUCUUUUGUUGUUUCAAAAUAUUUUAUUCAUGAUAUCAUAUUUACAAUUAAUUUCAUUGAAGAAAUUUAAAACUUUGAUGUUUUUUUUUCCCCUAUCUUAUUUUCAGUGAAAAAGAUUGCUGAAAUUAUGUUUGUGUCACAUGACAAUGAAAUUCCGCCAACGAAUUGCGUGGGUCACUAUUGUUGUCUACCUCAGCAUUACCUGUGCUUUGACCUAUUAUGUAUUUGAAAUUAAUGAGAAAUAUACUAAAUAUGCCUUUGAUCAUUCUUCAAAAUUCCACUUGGAUCCGAAACUGGGCCGUAAAGUUGGAAUUGCAAAGAAUACAAUCAUGGAGACCAAUUCUUCUGAAACUUCAGUGCUGCACCGCAUGUUUUCCCACUUGAGCGAUAUUCCUUUGUUGAUCUGGAUUAUUCUAUUUAUGAUACCAUAUUUUCAAGUCUUCUUCUUACUAUUGGCAUGUACCAAACCCGAUCCAAGACUAAGCUUGGCCUUGCUCUGGCCAAACAUCCUGUAUUUAAAAUGGAAACAACAUUGUACAGUUACUAUUUUCAGAAAACCAAGCAUUAAUGGUGACUGCAAUAGUAAUGUAUCAAAUAACCAUGUGAUUUUUGACACGUAAUAUUUCUUAUUCAGCAUAUUUUUUUGCAAAAGAACUUUUUCUUUUCAAUUACUAUAAUUAUUUUUAAAUGUAUUUUUAUGUGAGUCUAAUUAGGUGCUAAUCAUGCAUUCAUUGAAGGAAUUAUAUAAUUUGGUUAAUCUAAUAUUUAAAAAAAUUUUUAUAGUCUAUCCAUAGAUUAUGAUGAUGUGUUCAUAUACCAACAGUCAGCAUAAUGAACAGACAUGUGAAUAUUGUUGAUACGACCUUGAACAAGUCUAUCGAUAGUUGAUAUAGUGUGGAUUUAAUCUUGGACAAGUCUUGCUGCUAAUGAUAUAACAGUGACUCAGACUUUCAGUGGACGAGAUGGUCGUGCCCAGGUCUUUAAGUUGGGUGAUAAUGUCUUGAUAACUUCUACCACGUGAUGAAAUAAUGAUUAUUUAAUUUUGACAAAGUUUCACAAUGACUGUUUAAGUUUUGAUAAAAUUUAACUGUGGAUAGUGACAAUACAUACCGUGGCUAUUUUCAGCUGAAAAUAAAUUGCUGAGAAUAUUUCUCUCUAAAACUGAUUUGUUAACUUCUAAAUACAUAAAAAAUAUGUUGUGAAUCCAGUUGGUGAAGGAUUUCCUCAUAAUUAACAUCAGGACCAGUAUUAAUGGGAAAUGUAAAGAUCCAAAUGGGUUUUUUUUUUUUUUUGAAUUAGCGAAACAAGUAAGUAAAUGCUUCACAAUCAUUCAGUCCUUGUAUAUUUUUGAUAUUUUUUAAAAAAUGAUCUUUGAAUUUCCAUGUUUUGAACACUGGAAUUACUGAUAGUGCAAAAAUAAAAAUAAAAUUUCAAAUUUUACAUUAUAUUCUUGCUUCCUUUUAUUGACAAUAUAUAUAACAUAUCAUCUUGUGAAAAUAUAAUUUCCUACAAUUUCUACUGUGUUGGAUUUUAUACAAGAGAACUAUAUUCUGACUACAUUUAGUCUUAACAUCAACUACUCCUCCCUGUAACAACUUGAGGGUGUGUCCCAACAUAUCUUCUUCAUCAUCUUUUCUCCCUCUUUCUCCUUUUCCAGUUGAGAGAGCCAUGUAUUUCCUCUGCUGCAAGACACCUGUUUCUAUCACUUUUUUUAUCCCUUAACCUUUCUUCACUAGGUGCAAAGCCACCUCUUUCAAUGCUAUUUCUUCAGUUGAGGGGUUUUGUCUUGCAAGUUACAUGGUAAGUUACAUGUGCUGGUGGCACAUAAAAAGCACCCAGUACACUCUAUAGAGUGGUUGGCAUUAGGAAGGGUAUCCAGAUAUAUAAACCAUCCAAAGCACACAAUAGAGCUUGGCACAGUCCUCUGGGUCACAAGUUUCUGUCAAAUUAUCCAACCCAUGUCACCAGGAAAUGUGGAUGUUGAAUGAGGUUGAUGAUGACUGUAUUAUGUCAUGUAUAGGUUGCAUGAUUUAUUUGUCUUGAAGCACUCACUUUUUUGUUUCGGAAAUUCAACAAAGCAAACUCAGAUUUUUACAUUCCUCAUUAAUGUUAGUCUCAGUUUUAAUUACACUAUAUUCCUCCAGUCGUGUGUGUGUGUGUGUAUAUAUAUAUAUAUAUAUAUAUAUAUCAAGUAGAUUUUAUCCUAUUUUUGAAUAUAUAUAUACAGUGAAGGUGCAUAGCCUAGUGAUUGCUAGAUCAUCGGUUCAAUUUCCAAGCCAGGCAGUGUGUUGUGUUCUAGAGCAAAACACUUCAUUUCAUGUUGCUUCAAUCAGUGGGUAAUGUUGGCCUGCUCACCUAGCUAGCUGGGUCUAAAACAUCAUUUAAAGUCUAAAACAAUGCAGAGCAUGUUGUAAUCAGUAAUGUGUAACAACAUCUGAUAGUCUGGUCAGUCAUGUGAUCACAUGAUAUAUAUCAAAACAAGAGAUUGGAAAAUUUUUUGUAUUAUUUCCAAUCUCCCAUUUGCAGAAAAUAUUUCCCAGUAUUUUCAAUUCUUAUGCAUACCUCACACAAAUAUAACAUUUAUAUAUGGAUUUGUAAUACUGAGAUAGCAGAUGUGCUUCAAGAAGAAACAGCUGUGAUUUUAACCCUCUCUACAUAAUAUAUAUAUAUAUAUAUAUGUGUGUGUGUGUGUGUAUGUGUUUUGAUUUUACAUAACUAUUUAAAAUCAGCUCCUUGUAUAUGUUCAUUCAUAUCUAAGUACAUUUGCUCUGGUUUUGAAUAAGGCAACAAAUUUCCUUGAAGCAUCCACAUAAUAAUGGUGUUUAUUUCUUGGCUUCUGGCUUAAAAAAAUACCCAAUUUAUUGCUUUAACUAAUGCAUAGCAUUGCAGUUUUUAAAGCAACAUCUGAAAUCCAUCUACAAAAUAUUUUUCUGGAGUUCAGAUGUAAAUAAACUUUUUUCAGAGAUACCAGUAUUUCAGAUUAACAUUAGGGUACAUAUAUACAUAUAUAACAUAUGCUUAUACUGU